Long non-coding RNA from Ostrea edulis (European flat oyster), 392 nucleotides. RefSeq lists it as uncharacterized. Lineage: Eukaryota; Metazoa; Mollusca; Bivalvia; Ostreida; Ostreidae. The record is from RefSeq and is a predicted model, not a curated record. The transcript is spliced from 2 exons.
GUCUUAUUUAUGUCAGUCAGAGCAGUAAGGCAUAUCAAAGAUUUACAUCCAGUCUCCAUCAUCUGUAUUUCACGAACAUGCUGCAUUUGAUAAUCGUUGCAUGUCUUAUCAAUAACAUAACGACGUCCUACCACCCGCUUCCAAGACCACCCCUGAAUACUACUUCGGAGGAAGACAUAUCUGUUCGUCAAGGUGAUAAGAGAGAUUCAAGAUUGAGAUUAGUGCGAGAUACCCCAGCGCUUCAUCAAAGUGAUAGUUUUGGUAGAAACUGAAAGCAUUGAUCGUAAAAUUACGAUCUUUGGUGAAAUCACUGCUGACAAGAUCCUAGUGGGUCUAAACAAUGAAUAAUAGCAUCCAUUAAUGUUAUUUCAACAAUAAAUCUAUAGAAACUC